GGCCUACCAUGGUGGUAACGGGUAACGGGGUGUUAGGGCACGACACCGGAGAGGGAGCCUGAGAAACGGCUACCACAUCCAAGGAUGGCAGCAGGCGCGCAAAUUACCCAAUCCCGACACGGGGAGGUAGUGACAAUAAAUAACAAUACGGGGUUCUUUCGGAUCUCGUAAUUGGAAUGAGUACAAUUUAAAUCUCUUAACGAGGAACAAUUGGAGGGCAAGUCUGGUGCCAGCAGCCGCGGUAAUUCCAGCUCCAAUAGCGUAUAUUAAAGUUGUUGCAGUUAAAAAGCUCGUAGUUGAAUUUCGGGGUUAGUAGGUUGGUCAUGCCUCUGGUAUGUACUGAUCUCACUGAUUCCUCCUUCCUUAUGAACCGUAAUGCCAUUAAUUUGGUGUUGCGGGGAAUUUGGACUGUUACUUUGAAAAAAUUAGAGUGUUUAAAGCAGGCUAACGCUUGAAUACAUUAGCAUGGAAUAAUGAAAUAGGACGUUCGAUCUUACUUUGUUGGUUUCUAGGAUUGACGUAAUGAUUAAUAGGGAUAGUUGGGGGCAUUAGUAUUCAAUUGUCAGAGGUGAAAUUCUUGGAUUUAUUGAAGACUAACUACUGCGAAAGCAUUUGCCAAGGAUGUUUUCAUUAAUCAAGAACGAAAGUUAGGGGAUCGAAGACGAUCAGAUACCGUCGUAGUCUUAACCAUAAACUAUGCCGACUAGGGAUCGGAUGAUGUUAAUUUUUUAAUGACUCAUUCGGCGCCUUACG
RNAcentral lists this ribosomal RNA (753 nucleotides) under uncultured Glomus. Its description in RNAcentral is "SSU rRNA". It matches the Rfam family "Eukaryotic small subunit ribosomal RNA", at positions 338 to 1092 of the family's 1831-position model. Lineage: Eukaryota; Fungi; Glomeromycota; Glomeromycetes; Glomerales; Glomeraceae. The record is from RNAcentral.